UACGUAGGGUGCGAGCGUUAAUCGGAAUUACUGGGCGUAAAGCGUGCGUAGGCGGUCCGCGAAGUCUGAUGUGAAAGCCCCGGGCUCAACCUGGGAACUGCAUUGGAAACUAACGGGCUCGAGUGUGGCAGAGGGGGGUGGAAUUCCACGUGUAGCAGUGAAAUGCGUAGAGAUGUGGAGGAACACCGAUGGCGAAGGCAGCCCCCUGGGCUAACACUGACGCUCAGGCACGAAAGCGUGGGGAGCAAAAGGG
This 253-nucleotide ribosomal RNA is filed under the name uncultured bacterium. Its description in RNAcentral is "partial 16S ribosomal RNA". It matches the Rfam family "Bacterial small subunit ribosomal RNA", at positions 524 to 776 of the family's 1533-position model. The record is from RNAcentral.